GAAUCACCCACCUGGUGUCCCAGGUCUAAAUCAGUCCCUGAUUAGAGGGGAAUCACCCACCUGGUGUCCCAGGUCUAAAUCAGUCCCUGAUUAGAGGGGAAUCACCCACCUGGUGUCCCAGGUCUAAAUCAGUCCCUGAUUAGAGGGGAAUCACCCACCUGGUGUCCCAGGUCUAAAUCAGGCCCUGAUUAGAGGGGAAUCACCCACCUGGUGUCCCAGGUCUAAAUCAGUCCCUGAUUAGAGGGGAAUCACCCACCUGGUGUCCCAGGUCUAAAUCAGGCCCUGAUUAGAGGGGAAUCACCCACCUGGUGUCCCAGGUCUAAAUCAGUCCCUGAUUAGAGGGGAAUCACCCACCUGGUGUCCCAGGUCUAAAUCAGUCCCUGAUUAGAGGGGAAUCACCCACCUGGUGUCCCAGGUCUAAAUCAGUCCCUGAUUAGAGGGGAAUCACCCACCUGGUGUCCCAGGUCUAAAUCAGGCCCUGAUUAGAGGGGAAUCACCCACCUGGUGUCCCAGGUCUAAAUCAGGCCCUGAUUAGAGGGGAAUCACCCACCUGGUGUCCCAGGUCUAAAUCAGGCCCUGAUUAGAGGGGAAUCACCCACCUGGUGUCCCAGGUCUAAAUCAGUCCCUGAUUAGAGGGGAAUCACCCACCUGGUGUCCCAGGUCUAAAUCAGGCCCUGAUUAGAGGGGAAUCACCCACCUGGUGUCCCAGGUCUAAAUCAGGCCCUGAUUAGAGGGGAAUCACCCACCUGGUGUCCCAGGUCUAAAUCAGUCCCUGAUUAGAGGGGAAUCACCCACCUGGUGUCCCAGGUCUAAAUCAGGCCCUGAUUAGAGGGGAAUCACCCACCUGGUGUCCCAGGUCUAAAUCAGUCCCUGAUUAGAGGGGAAUCACCCACCUGGUGUCCCAGGUCUAAAUCAGUCCCUGAUUAGAGGGGAACAAU
Oncorhynchus keta (chum salmon) is the source of this 938-nucleotide long non-coding RNA. RefSeq lists it as uncharacterized. The record is from RefSeq and is a predicted model, not a curated record. Lineage: Eukaryota; Metazoa; Chordata; Actinopteri; Salmoniformes; Salmonidae. The transcript is spliced from 8 exons.